AGGACGGACGACGACACCGUGGCGGUUGAUGGCGGUGGCCGGUGGCGGUUGAGGCGAAGACACUUCUUCGGGCCUCGCUGCCAGACGCUGGGCAUCACCUUAACCAGCAAGGAGGUGUCCUACAUUUGCACAUUGUGCUCCAUGUGGCUAGCCGCAGAGGAUAGUGUGGAGUCCGCCGGUGAUGGAGAUGAUGGAUGGCUGCUACCACGCAACGUCGAGCUCAUCUCUAUACCACAUCGCUACAUCCUUCCAUGA
This 255-nucleotide long non-coding RNA is filed under the name Oryza sativa tropical japonica subgroup. RNAcentral describes it as "lncRNA OsKeNa_06g0016940". The record is from RNAcentral. Lineage: Eukaryota; Viridiplantae; Streptophyta; Magnoliopsida; Poales; Poaceae.